AAUGUAUGACGUCGUUGACUUUUCGUCCAACGUUUGACUAUUCGUCUUAUUUAAAAUAUUUAUGAAAUUAUUAUUUAUUUUAUUGUGACCUGAUUCAUCAUCAAAUAUUCUUUAAGAAUGACAUAAAUAAUUUCAUAUUUCUAUAAAAUUUUUGAAUAAAACGGAUGGUCAUACGUUGAUGAAAAAGUCAACGGCGUCAUAUAUU
This 205-nucleotide microRNA precursor is filed under the name Oryza sativa Japonica Group (Japanese rice). RNAcentral's name for it is "MIR812 microRNA precursor family". It matches the Rfam family "MIR812 microRNA precursor family". Lineage: Eukaryota; Viridiplantae; Streptophyta; Magnoliopsida; Poales; Poaceae. The record is from Rfam by way of RNAcentral.